GAUGAACGCUGGCGGCGUGCCUAAUACAUGCAAGUCGAGCGAACGGACGAGAAGCUUGCUUUUCUGAUGUUAGCGGCGGACGGGUGAGUAACACGUGGAUAACCUACCUAUAAGACUGGGAUAACUUCGGGAAACCGGAGCUAAUACCGGAUAAUAUUUUGAACCGCAUGGUUCAAAAGUGAAAGACGGUCUUGCUGUCACUUAUAGAUGGAUCCGCGCUGCAUUAGCUAGUUGGUAAGGUAACGGCUUACCAAGGCAACGAUGCAUAGCCGACCUGAGAGGGUGGUCGGCCACACUGGAACUGAGACACGGUCCAGACUCCUACGGGAGGCAGCAGUAGGGAAUCUUCCGCAAUGGGCGAAAGCCUGACGGAGCAACGCCGCGUGAGUGAUGAAGGUCUUCGGGUCGUAAAACUCUGUUAUUAGGGAAGAACAUAUGUGUAAGUAACUGUGCACAUCUUGACGGUACCUAAUCAGAAAGCCACGGCUAACUACCUG
RNAcentral lists this ribosomal RNA (497 nucleotides) under uncultured bacterium. RNAcentral's name for it is "partial 16S ribosomal RNA". It matches the Rfam family "Bacterial small subunit ribosomal RNA", at positions 28 to 507 of the family's 1533-position model. The record is from RNAcentral.